GUGAGGAAGAAGAGACCCAAACAAAAAAACACAGGGUGGAUUG
RNAcentral lists this ribosomal RNA (43 nucleotides) under Acmella minima. RNAcentral's name for it is "Paludinella minima partial 18S ribosomal RNA". The record is from RNAcentral. Lineage: Eukaryota; Metazoa; Mollusca; Gastropoda; Littorinimorpha; Assimineidae.